CAGUAGCCGCGGGAAUGCGUAGGUGGCAAGCGUUGUCCGGAAUUAUUGGGCGUAAAGGGCUCGCAGGCGGUUUCUUAAGUCUGAUGUGAAAGCCCCCGGCUCAACCGGGGAGGGUCAUUGGAAACUGGGAAACUUGAGUGCAGAAGAGGAGAGUGGAAUUCCACGUGUAGCGGUGAAAUGCGUAGAGAUGUGGAGGAACACCAGUGGCGAAGGCGACUCUCUGGUCUGUAACUGACGCUGAGGAGCGAAAGCGUGGGGAGCGAACAGGAUUAGAUACCCCUGUAGUCCCUGUCUCUUAUAC
RNAcentral lists this ribosomal RNA (301 nucleotides) under uncultured bacterium. RNAcentral describes it as "partial 16S ribosomal RNA". It matches the Rfam family "Bacterial small subunit ribosomal RNA", at positions 509 to 807 of the family's 1533-position model. The record is from RNAcentral.